AGUGCUCUGUGUCAUUUUACACAGCGUGGGAAAGUUCAAUUUUCCCAGCGCUGGGUAAAAUGACACAGAGCAC
Pelobates cultripes (western spadefoot toad) is the source of this 73-nucleotide non-coding RNA. The record is from the annotation of a GenBank genome assembly. Lineage: Eukaryota; Metazoa; Chordata; Amphibia; Anura; Pelobatidae.